UAAUUAUUACUUGUUAAGGAUAUAGUUUGACCUAAAGCACCAAUAGGAAGCCAGAGAGUUACGUGUUUGUGGCCACUCCUCUUCUCUCUCUCCGCCUUUCAGCGCCUUGGGUCUGUUAAAACGUAGCAAGUUGCCUGCUGCAGCCAUUUUUCCUAGUUUCCGUGGAUGUGAGGCACUUUAGUGGUCUCUCUCCAUAUAACGGGGUCCCUGGGAACAUUUUUAGUUCCCCUACCACCAUGCCUUAUGGUGUCUUUAAGAAAAUAUAUCAAGAUUUUUAUGUUCUGGUAGGCUUUUUCUGACAAGUCCUCCUUAUUUUUGGAUAUCUGUAAUAUUUUUAGACAGUUUUUCAUUUUUAAUGAAUAUUUCUUUGUCAUACAAUUUGGUUGACAUGUCUGUUUGGUGGACUUACCUUUCUUUCAUUCCAUUUCUAUAUUUUUGCCCAUCGGGGCCACGGAUACCUGUGUGUCCUCCUUCUCUUUCCUCUCACUCCAUGCCCAACGGGGCUGGGGAACUCGCCUGCCUUCUAAUUCUUUCUGUUCUUUUCUCUCUCUCUCCUCCUCCUCCUCUUCUUUUUAUUCUUAUAAACUUGCCCAUCCGGGCUGUGGAUACCUGCUUUUAUUAUUUUUUUUUUCCUUAGCCCAUCGGGGCCGUGGAUACCUGCUUUUUACAUAACCCCUAUCUCUUGGUCCAUCGGGACCUCGGAUACCUGCGUUUAGUCUUUUUCCUUGCCCAUCGGGACCUCGGAUACCUGCGUUUAGUCUUUUUCCUUGCCCAUCGGGGCCUCGGAUACCUGCUUAAUUUUUUUUUUCUUUUCUUUUUGCCCAUCGGGGCUGUGGAUACCUGCUUCAGUUUUUUCCAUUGCCCAACGGGGCAUUUGGUGGAUGGACGUAUGUUGGUUUUGUGAGUUAUUGCACUGUCUGGAAUAUCCAUACCUCUCUGCUUUCCGUCUUACUGUUGCUGAUCGUUUGGUGGUGUGUGAGUGAACCUAUGGCUUAGAAAAAUGACUUUGCGCUUAAGCUGAGUGGGUGUUCAGGGCGUGGAGGGUUUUGUGAGUUACUGCGCUAUCUGGAAUAUCCAUACCUCUCUGUUUUCCGUCUUGCUGCUACUGAUGCUGAUCGUUUGGUGGUGUGUGAACGAACCUAUGGCUUAGAAAAAUGACUCUGCGCUUAAGCUGAGUGGGUGUUCAGGGCGUGGAGAGCCCGUGUCCGCCAUCUUACAGUUGCUGCGUGACAUGGCCAUUCCCGAGCCAAUUACGGCAAGAAUUAGGGAGUCGAGGUGGACAGAGUGCUGGACAGAGGCAAGGAUGUGUGCUGCACCAGCUAAGGGCUUGAUAUGUGCGGGUUUGGACUUGAUUUGUGGGGCUUUUUAGUAAUAAUCACGGUAACCGGAAGUAGAAAACCACGGCGCGCUCUCGUUUGCGUGUCACGGUGUAUGUAAGGUGAAAGAAGCGGAGGACUUCGUGUUCGUGAGUGGUGUUAGGUGAAAGAAGCAGCGGAGGACUCCGUGUUCGUGUGUGGUGUUAGGUGAAAGGACCAGGACUUGGAGAUAGGGCUCGAAAUGGGCAUUUCGAUAUUCCUGGGGGGGUCUGCCCGGCUCCAGGGCGUGCUUGUUAAGGUCCGCAACAUGGCGGCCCGGGCACUGUACUCGACAGCCCAAUCUUUAGCCUAACAUGGAGCAUGGCGGAAGGGCAUUUAGGUUAUACAAGAGAAGAUGGCGGAUUGAGCUCUUGCUGCAGUAUAACGCAGCGGGCUUUUUUUUUUCAGGUGGCAACUUGGUGGCUGAGUUAGCCUAGGGGACAAUGUAGCACAUGCUCUUGAGCGUCAAGAUGGCGGUGUGUGUCACAUGAUCAACCCUCGCGGGCAUUUUUUUUAGUACAGCUUGGCGGGCUUUGUCCAGGCGUGGCAGCCUUUGUCCAGGCUUGCGGGCUUUGGCCAGGCUUGCGGGCUUUGGCCAAGGUGAACUUGGUGCAUUAAGAUGGCCAGUGGUUGGUUCUACCUUGUGCCACUCGAAGCCUAAUUAAUUGGAAGUGUUGGUUGCCUCUUGACUUAACUAGUCAAAAGUGGGUACUACUACGUGGUGUAGAGGAUGGAAGUAGUCCGUGACGAGUCACUGUCCUGCUUGAGUUACCUUGGCACCUCACGUCUGUCUUUAGUCAUCGUCAUUUGAAGUGUCUACCCGGGUGCGAGAGCACAUGCUCGUACUUCUAACAUUUGAGGUGUUGAAUGAUGAUCCAAUCUGAGACUUGAGGCCGGAGGGAGGUUCCUGAGGUUGAGGUCGAUGUGGGUUGUACAUUGAAAACCUCACCUAUAAAAGGAAGAGAAUCAGUGAUGAGGUCAGGUUAAAGCAUCUCUCCGAGGAUAGUGCCUAAGGUGACUUAAGACAGUCGACCCUCCUAUUUGCCUAAGAUGGUCUUUUGCAUUGCGCUAUAUAAGGCGGUGCAAAGCUAAGCCUCACCCCAUUCCUUUGUAUUGGUUCCGCUUGUAUUGGUUCCCCGGCUUAAGAACUGUCUACUCACUCCCCGGCCUCUUAUUGAGCCAGCACUGCGAUCUGAAGCCGUUCUCCAGGUCUGCGAUCUGAAGCCGUUCUCCAGGUCUGUGAUUUUAAGCCGUUUUCCAGGCCUGCUGUGGGCAGAGGGGUGACCCUGGCCAGAGUCAUAAUGGACUACAAAUAAAUCACUGGCCAAGACGUGGAAUCCUACCUUCCUCCAGAGGAUCAUCUACCCUAUGGCUAAUGCUAGGGGUAAAUUUUGAUUUACGUGAAUGUUUUGGAUGUCAGCAAUAAGUCUGGAUAGUGCGGUUUGCUAGUGCUUGAAUUUAAAGUUGGAGUGAUUAUUACAGAAAUGUAUUUAGAAGCUUUGUUUACUUGGAGAGUUCAUUUUAAUUACUUUUAAUGAGUUUUCACUCAGAAUUCUUAAAGUUUUUAGUUUCUUCUAAAUUCAUUAACUUUUUUGGCAGAUGAUACUCAAAUUAUUCGGCACUUAAAUUUACUUUCUUUCAUAAUGACCUAUUGAACUACUCUUAAAAUUCUUAAGAGUCGCUGGGCGGUGGCGGCGCACGCCUUUAAUCCCAGCACUCGGGAGGCAGAGCCAGGCGGAACUCUGUGAGUUCGAGGCCAGCCUGGGCUACAGAGUGAGUUCCAGGAAAGGCGCAAAGUCACACAGAGAAACCCUGUCUCGAAAAACCAAAAAAAAAAAAAUAAAUAAAAAUAAAAUAAAAAAAAUAAAAAAUAAAAAUCUUAAGAGUCUUAUGACACAGAUACUGUUAAUGUAAAGUAAAGUUAAUUUUGUGAUUGGCUCUCAAAGGGAGUAUUUGAAGAUCUACACCAGUCCAGGCUUUGCUUUUAUUGCCAUCUUUGAUGCUACAUUGACUAAUGACUUGACUUAUCAGGCAGGAGCCUUGAGUGGUCUGGUGUCCUCUAUCAGACUACUUACUAUUGGAAUAGUAACGCCCACAUUUGAACUUUCUAUGGUUUCUUGCCUUUGUAGCAUCCUUAUAUCCCCCCCGCAAACACUGAUGUCCCUGCCACAGCCCCAGCCCCUGGCCUAGCCCCAACCCAGCCCCGCCCAAACCCACCCCAGCCCCACCCAUGCCCAUGCCCUUGCCCCUGCCCCUGCCCCAGCCCCAGGCCCAAGCCAAUCCUACCCCAGCCCCAGGCCAGUCCUAGCCACAGCCCGGAUUCUCUCAACCCCAGCCCCAGUCCCAAAACCCACCCUAGAGACAUUCCAAUCUUUAUUGAUUGAGUGCUAAAAAUGCAGUGUCCAUAACUCAUCCUGGCAAACUGAGCUAUCCUGUCUUUAUCCCCUCCAUGCUCAUUGCCUGAGUCCCAACUUUCACUUAAUGGACACAGUCCUUCCUACUGGUACACGGACUCAAAGUAUCAUAACAAAGAACUCUGGUCCCUCAUGUUCAUCGAGAAAUGCCAACUGAACAAGAGUUUCAGUUCAGAGAAUUACCAUCAAGGCACCAUCUCCUAAAUCUCCUUUCUUUAAGGAAGGAAAAACCAUUCUGUCAUUGCUGCAGUCCUCACAGUCCCAACUUUCGGGGCAGUGCUCAGUAGCCUUUUCUCACACACUGUCUUGAGCACUCUUUGCACUGAGUAAAUUCUUAUUGAAUAUAAUUUGUCCACUGGAUUAGACCCCAGCUAGUCCAGCCCCAUUUGCGUUCAGCAGAGGGGCAGACACAAGUCUGUUAACAGACAGUUAAGGUGCUCAGUCCCAGUUCUCAAGGCCAUGAAUAUUAAGGGGCUACUAUAUCCCGCUGCAUGGCAUCAUGGGUGCUAUCACCCCACGUUAUAUCCUUUAAAUUGAUGGACAUAAAUUCAUUUGUCCAUGGUAGUGUGUACCAGUCCCAUCAGCUACCCUUAUUUCAGAUUGUAGACGAAAACUCUGCACUGGGACAGUUUAUGUGGAUAAUCCUGAUGAGGAAGUGAACCUUUUCUCAAAGUCCUUGUACAAACUUUAGCUUUACGUUAAGAGGGUGCUUAUUACCUAAAAUAAAGCCUCUUAUACAAUUGUGCAAAGCUCUAGUUGCUCAAGUCUGUACUAACCAAGAUCCCAUACCCUCACACCCCAAUGGGUGACAAUGGGGGCAAGGGGGCAACCGACAAGGCCCCCUUCUUUGUUCUGGUCUUUUGGCUGUGCUUGGGAUCAAACUAAGUCUUGCACGUGCUAGUAAAGCACUAUGCCAUGGAGCUACAGCUCCACCUUGUGGCUGUUUGAGGAUAAGCAUCUUUAUGUAGCUCGGGGCUGGCACUUAGUUCUUCUGCUUCUCAGUCCCAAUUACUGCAACUACAGGCAUUGCCACCACUUCUGCCUGUCUUUAUGUGCACAUUUGCAUUUGUCCCUCUUCCUGAGCAUUGGAUAAAGAAACCAAACUCAGUCAUUUCUUUAUUUAGCAAGACCUUUGAACUCAGAGUCAAUCUGUUCUGUUCUUAAUUUCCAGGCUGGCCCAGAACUUACUUAUAUAACCCAGGCUGGCCUUGAGCUCAGGAUCAAGCCUUUACUUCACAAGUGCUGGCAUAAUUGGUGUCUACCACCAUGGCCUGCAGUCUCUCAGGCUGUGAUGUGCAUACUUCAUUUUGCUGUAGUAGUUAGUAUGCACUGGGUAAAGACCUUAACCAUUCAUUUGUAUUGCGGCAGGAGGUUAACUAGUAUGUAAUUAAGAUCCUUAACAAGGUAUACGUGCACAGUGUUAAUUGUCUCGAACAUAUUAUGUCCACAGCCAUGCCUUUUAGAUCAGGACCCCUGUACAUACCAAAACAAAGAGGCUCACUAACACUAUAGUCUCUUUCCUGAAACUAUAGAAAUGAUUGCAAUAUUGCCAAUGGCCCUUCACUUAAUGGAACUAUGUGCUGUUCACUUAAUGCUUUCUCAACCUGCUAAUGUACAUAAUGGCAAUUUCAGAAGGAUUAGUUUUACUCUUACUUUGAAGUACAGCAGUGGUGUUGACCUAUAAGGUCCUAUUUUGUGGCUUGCUAAUAAUGUCUGAUUGUAUUUGUCCUUUUCUGUUUGCUACAGAAGGAAAUCAUUCCCCACCCUUAUGCCUUUCCCUUUCAUCAGGGAAUGCACAUUGCCAAAGAUCCUUAUGUCUGAACAGUCAAAGUAUAAAACUAUAAUGGCCACAAUCAUGCACCUUGAAUAUUAGUGGGCCAUAAAUGGCACAUGACUCAUUCCACUGAAUACUUCUCAGACUACUCUCGGACCCUUUUGCAGUACAGCAAGGGUCACUAAUCUCUUGACUUCUCCAUCUUCCUGGACACUGGAUAAGGAUAUCCUCUCCUUUCCACUGCCUUUGAUUCCCAGAAGUGUCCAUUACUUUAAGAUCUUAAUAUUUUAUAAAGGGUGUGGCUUUAAUUAACCACACUAUGUCCCUUGAACAUUAAUGUACUUAAUAGGGACAUGAUUCGUUCAUUUUAAUAAAAAUAUUUGGACAGUUAUCCACAACCUUAUUACUUUGAGGACCUUUGUAUCUCUUUUGCACUACUGCAAGGGAUACUGUUUUUCCCAAGGUCCCUGAUAGUGGACCAUUAAUACAGUGGAAAUUAUCUUUUGUCUUUGUCAGUAGACAAAGUUAUACUCUUUCAUUUGCAGUAUGGCAGGGUAUGCUGAUCAACCAAGGCUGCCUUCUUUUGGACUGUUAGUAUGCAUUGUAUGUUUUAUGUAUGAAUAUGCAUUUCCUCCUGCUCUGUGCACUAGAAAAGGAUCCCACUCACUUCCUUAUCACCUUCAGCGGGAAGUGGAAAGUUCACAUGCACAGUGUCUAAGCACUUCUUGUAUCAGAAACCUUGUACCCUCUUCCUCCGCUUUAAAGCAGAAAGAGGUUUUUACACUGUGCCGUUCAUUUGGACUUCAAUGUGCAUUAAUGCAGUUGUCCAUCCUUACCUUUGGAGUAGGAUUUACAUCCUUAUACUCCUUGACAUCAGAGGCAUGUUAACUUUUUUAGCACUUCUCUUAUUAUAUAUAUAUUUAUUAAUAUGUAUACUUAUACAUAUGGACUUGUGUGGCAGAAAAGGUUCCUAAGUUUCUACCUUUUGACUGGGGCUGCUGAGGAGUGGUUAAUUGUUUAUAACCUCAGCAUCUGGAUGAUUACAAUGCAACAAUGUCAGUGGUCGAGUACUGAUUACUAGUUGGACCUCUGUACUCUCUUUGCAUACCAUCAGGGAUACUGACCAACUAAGCCCCCGAAUUGUUAAUGUGCAUAUUUGUAAUUACAAAUGCCUAGAAUACUAUGUUCUCAUCCUCCCUUUGCAUUACUGCAGGGGCUGCUGAUCCAUCUAAAAUGUCUGGGACUGUUAAUGAGCACAGUGAUUAUGAUCAAUGGCUUAUUUGGGGACUAUUAAUAGGCACAAUGGCAGCUCUUGGUGGUUUAUUUUCUCCUCUCAUUGGCAUAGUAAAGUAAAAUAUUGCAGUAUGUCAAUGCUUUUUCCCCCCACAACGACCCAGAUUUCCAUCCCCUUUGCAUUUCCAGUACACAAAAUCCUAAAUGGCCACGACCUCAUACUUUACACAGUUUUCCCUCUGCCUGGCCCCUUGUCCAUGGGAUACUCUUAUUAUGACUGGCCUUCUCUUGACUUCAAGUCAGCAAGCCCAGAAGCCAUCAGUUACCCGCUUCCUAUGGCUGCAAUGUUUCAUUUGCACUCUCCUUGGUCCUACCCAUCGAACAGAAACACUUCCACUGCAUCAUUCUGUCAACUGCCCAAGGCACCUUGUGUGUCGUUAAUGAACACAGCAUUGAUUGAGACUACUUUGAUGUGUUUAUACACGUUAACUAUCAAAAGCAGGCCAAAACUUGGUGGAUGAACCUUCACUAUUUAGCUUGCAUUUCUUAAUUACUCCAAUUCCAAUUGCAUUCUAGGGCCAGGAAUCAUUCCAUUCCUGCCUACCUUUAUUAAUGCUUUACUGGGUAAAAAUAUUCCAGGCAAGUUGCUCAGGGAGCUGAAUUGCCACCUUUUAUUUGGGGCGUUCCUUGUACAGUAUCAAACUGAAAACUGUCUCCCAGAGAAGGAGGAGGAGCUAGCACUUUGUUUACAGUGUUCCUCCAGAAGCCAACUGCCUGCUUAAGAACCGCAAACUUGCUUCAUUUUUGUGUGUUGCUACUGUUCGAGUGCCAACUGCCAGAAAAGUUCUUGAUGGCUGAUUCCUUAAGAAAGGCGUUUGGACGGCAAGGUGGAACGGACUGUGCGAUCAUUAGCUUUUCUGAAGUAAAAAGAUCCAUUUCUAUUAUAUAUCUGAUGACCAGCGGUGUCUCUCAUUUCCUGAGGGUGGCGAGUCUGUGGACAGAUCACUCUAACUGUUGCUGUUCCAGUACCAUCAAAGCAGUUGUAGACCGCAAUGCUUAAGACCAGCAUGUCUGUUUGGUCUGCACUACCAGUUUAAAAACAAAAAUCAACCUUUGUGUGACCUUUAGUGUCAUUAUCUUCUAGGAAAAUGACCAAACUCUCUAAUCUUAAAAUUUGGUCAGACAUUGAACACCAGCCCCUACUUAUUUUAAAACGGUGGCUGUGAAUGGAUGAAAUGAGAGACGAUGUUAAGUUGCCUUUGAAAAUUCUAGGUCAUCACAUUUGAUUAAUUCACUAUUAUCUGCCAUUAAAUUCUGGCAAUAAUUUGAAGUAGCUUAAAAAAAAAAAAAAGAGCCACCCUAAAGUGGGAACUUUAAAAUGAUGGAGCCUGUUUCCCCCACUUACAUGUUAAAACAUAUAGGCCAAGAUCUCAUGAUUCUUUUGAGAGUAUACUUCAAAGAGAGAUCUGCCUAGUAAGAAGAGGGUUUUGCGGCCGCCGAGUAUUUAAGCUUUUUGAUUUUUGAUUUUUAACUAGUGUGUGUGGCUGUGGCUGUGUGUGUGUGUGCUCACAUGUGCACUCGAGUAUCUGUACAAGCAUUCACAUGGUGACCAGAGAGCAACUAGUUUUUCUAUCUUGUGGGUCCUGGCGAUCAAACUCCGAUCGUCAGGUUUGGCAGCACGUGCCUUUACCAUCUGAACCAUCUUGCCAGCCCACUGCUGAGCUUUUAAUGUGACAUUGCUGAUGAAAACAGGCAUCACAACAGCAGCAAUUCUUCAAAGUUACUGAAGAAAAAAAAAAAGAUACUAUUUUUCUGAGAAGGCUAUCAAGAAAUCCACCCAGUUCGCGAUCCAGCUUGAACUUCGGCUCUUCAGACAGCUACAAGUAUAGACUAGCUGUUUCAGACUACAGGAUGAAUUGGAGUUGGUUUUGUGCUCUGACUGAAGGAUGGCCUGGUUUUAGAGGGAUGAAUUCCAGACAGCAUCCAAAGGGACAAUCCCAGCAUGAGACUCUAGGAUUGCCAGCAGCUGAUACAGGCUUCAUUCAAAUUCAGAUCUUUCCUUUUGAGACUCCGGACAAGAAUAGCUAAUCUGAGCAAAUAACUUGCAGGCCACAUGGAGAAAAAGAUUGUCCCCCAGAAGUAUGGGUUUGUUGCUUUGCAGUGCUGGUGACCUAUUCCCUUUGACGAUCCCUAGGAGGAGAUGGGGCAUGAGGAUCCUCCAGGGGAAUAGCUCACCACCACUGGGCAACAGCCCUAACCCAGGGGGUUUUAGUGAGACACUUUGCUGAACCCAACAAGGAAGAUAGAGUCAAAGACAGCCACCCUACAUCAAAAUAGGAGAAAAGCUGCCACUGACUUCACGAGCAAGUCAUUCUGUUUCAUCUAGUUCUCAAAGCCUCCCUGGGAGCUCUGUAGGAGAACUUUACCAGCUGUUUACAUACCUCAAGAUUCAUUGUGCUACCGACGAGACAGAAUAUACCCUCCAUCUAGUAAAUCAUCACCCUUCCUCAAAGCAGCACAGGAAGCUGGGUCUUCGGAGGGAUCACAAAAUGUGAACACAGGAAAGGAAGUCAGCUUUACGACCCAAGGGUCAACAUGGCUGCCUCUUAACACAACAGAAUGAAUGUGUAUUGGGUUGUGUGUCUUCAUUGUUUCAUGCAUCUAUUUCUUCCUUGCUUUGUGUGUCCAAUUCUUCUUCAGUGUAUCCGUUUCUUCCUUGCUUUGUGUGUCCAAUUCUUCAUUCAUGUACAUCUAUUUCUUCUUUGCUUUGUGUGUCUAAUUCUUCUUCAGUGGAUCUGUUUCUUCCUUGCUCUGUGUGUCUAAUUCUUCUUCAGUGUAUCUGUUCCUUCCUUGCUUUGUGUGUCUAAUUCUUCUUUCAUGUAUAUCUAUUUCUUCCUCGCUUUGUGUGUCUAAUUCUUCUUAGAUGUUUCUGUUUCUUCCUUGCCUUGUACAUCUUCCUUCCUUCUUCUUCCUUGCUUUGUAUGUUUUCCUUCUUUCCUCUUCCUUGCUUUGUAUGUCUUCCUUCCUUCUUUUGUAUGUCUUCCUUCUUUGCUUGAUGUCUAUGUCUUCCUCAAGUGUCUCCUCCUCCUCCUCCUGUGUCUAUGGUGUGUCUUCUUCAAGUGUCUCCUCCUCCUUCUGUGUCUAUGGUGUGUCUUCCUCAAGUGUCUCCUCCUCCUUCUGUGUCUAUGGUGUGUCUUCCUCAAGUAUCUCUUCCUCCUCCUUCUGUGUCUAUGAUGUGUCUUCUUCAA
This is a long non-coding RNA of Peromyscus maniculatus bairdii (prairie deer mouse), 10024 nucleotides long. RefSeq lists it as uncharacterized. Lineage: Eukaryota; Metazoa; Chordata; Mammalia; Rodentia; Cricetidae. The record is from RefSeq and is a predicted model, not a curated record.